This 268-nucleotide unclassified non-coding RNA is filed under the name uncultured Mortierellaceae. RNAcentral describes it as "partial internal transcribed spacer 2". Lineage: Eukaryota; Fungi; Mortierellomycota; Mortierellomycetes; Mortierellales; Mortierellaceae. The record is from RNAcentral.
AACACCUCAAAGCCUUUUAUUCUUUUUUUUGAAGAAAAAAAGGCUUUGGACUUGAGCAAUCCCAACACCAAUCUUUUUUUUAAAAAGAGUGGGGGCGGGUUGCUUGAAAUGCAGGUGCAGCUGGACAUUCUCCUGAGCUAAAAGCAUAUUCAUUUAAUCCCGUCAAACGGAUUAUUACUUUUGCUGCAGCUAACAUAAAGGGAGUUUGACCAUUUUGGCUGACUGAUGCAGGAUUUUCACAAGUGGUCUUCAAAACCCCUCUUGUUAA